This 64-nucleotide ribosomal RNA is filed under the name Byblis filifolia. The record is from RNAcentral. Lineage: Eukaryota; Viridiplantae; Streptophyta; Magnoliopsida; Lamiales; Byblidaceae.
AGCGUGCUUGGGCGAGUGUAGUACUAGGAUGGGUGACCCCUUAGGAAGUCCUCGUGUUGCACUC